CCUACGGGAGGCAGCAGGGAGGAAUAUUGGUCAAUGGGCGCGAGCCUGAACCAGCCAAGUAGCGUGAAGGAUGACUGCCCUACGGGUUGUAAACUUCUUUUAUAAAGGAAGAAAGUGAGGCACGUGUGCCUUUUUGGAUGUACGUUAUGAAUAAGGAUCGGCUAACUCCGUGCCAGCAGCCGCGGUAAUACGGAGGAUCCGAGCGUUAUCCGGAUUUAGGGGGUUUAAAGGGAGCGUAGAGGGGUUGUUAAGUCAGUUGUGAACGUUUGCGGCUCAACCGUAAAAUUGCCAUUGAUACUGGCAGCCUUGCGUCCAGUUGCGGUCGGCGGCAUUCGUGGUGUAGCGGU
This 347-nucleotide ribosomal RNA is filed under the name uncultured bacterium. Its description in RNAcentral is "partial 16S ribosomal RNA". It matches the Rfam family "Bacterial small subunit ribosomal RNA", at positions 338 to 682 of the family's 1533-position model. The record is from RNAcentral.